AGCUGUCCUAGUGUCUCGGUUCAGCCCCUUCAGGAGCCGUUGUGGGAGGGGAACAUUCAAAACGCUGUAGCAAGGAAGAAACUGUUUCUACCGGAGAUAGAAGAGGCCGAUGUUCGUCAAAUAGAAUAGGGUAGGCCUUGAAGGAACUGUAAUCCCUGUAGACCAAAGGAGGGGCCAUAGGGAUUGUCAUUCUGGGAGCAGAAGGCAGUGUAAAUGGGAGUCAGGAGGACGAAGCGCGUUUGGAGUGCGGGCCGCCUUACCGGCUGGGGUGGGGUUUUGGCUGUGAUACUCAGAGAGUCGAGGUUGAGCAAGAUGGUGAAGGACAGCGAGUUAAGGAGGUUGAGUAUAUUUGCAGCGGUAGAGCAUUGAAGGUUUUUGUGUACGAGAGUAAUAAAAGUUAAAGCAGUACUUUAGAUGAUUAAUCUGUUGAUACUAAGUAGCUAUCAAGCGCCGCUGCUUUUUUCUUAGCAAAUUUGAGUACCUUAGGUUCCAUCAUUGAGUUAGAUAAAAUUUGGCUGUUAAAUUUUGCACACAGGUCCAGGAGCUGACUCUCAUAUACCUCAGAAGAGUAUUUAACAAGAAGGCAAAGUUUAAGUGGCUUAAAGCCAUCAUCAGGAAAUAUCAUCAGGUCAUGCAGUGAGUAAACUGACACUAAGAGAAGUGAGCUUCCGAAGUCUCACCAGUGGCAAGCAGCUGAGAUGGAACUUGGCCUCAGAUCUGAUUCCACCCCGAUACCAACUUGUGGAUAGAAACCAUCCAGUGUUUAAUAUAUACCUUGGUGACAAAUGUGUAUCAUUACUAUCGCAUAUUUGUUUCUCUUCUGUUGGAACUUAAAGGAAUCUUGAGACAUGACCCCGCCCACUCUCAUUUUACUGAUGGGGAGCAUGGUACAGGGCUAUCAAGAAGCUGUCCAACGUUCACAGGGGAAAGGAGGAAAGAGAUCCCGUCUGACCCUGUCACCUUUGUUUUACCAAUUCCCGUUCCGUGAAGCAGCUUGAGGACAUGAGGCCUUUGUCCACUGCAGCUGGAAAUACUGCCUUGCAGCCUUGGUUUUGGCUUUCAAGCGGGUAAUGUUAUUUCAAUCACCCCCUGCUGAGUUUUUCCACAGAACUGAAAUUAUAAGGGCUGCUUCUAUUUUCUAUACUUGUUUAAAAUACUGUUUUGCUCUGCCACCCUAGAAUGCACAGGAGAAAGGGUGGUUUUUUUUGAUGUCAGCACAUUUCAUUUCAUUUUAAAAUGACCACAUCCUGGUUGACAGGGGCUUGGAUUCUUCCAAGGAAGCCGAGGGUGGAGAGGUGGUCAGUUAAUACCGUCAUUGGCCUGCAGAGGGAGCUCUGUGGUUUUCUUUUGCUCCAAUGCACAUCUGGCCCAUUGGUUAAUGUAGGGGAGUGACUUAUGGACUAUAUAGUAUUAGAGAGUCAACUUAGCUUUUCCUUUCCCUACUGCUCUGCUAUGUAAUGGAUCUCCACCCCGGGAGUCGGGGUCAGUGCACAGAGGGUUUUACUCACACGUGCUCCACAGCGCUCUGAAAGGCUCUGGAAAAUCUCCCUUCUAGGGAUAGGCCACAAGAAGUCUUCUGUGGUCCUGAGAACUCAGCACCCUUGGGCUUUCUACAAAGAACCAUUUCCUCUUCCGUAUAGUUUGCGAUUUACUGUUUAAAUUCAUUUUAAAAAUUAUAAAUGUAGACAUACUCAUUACAGAACAUUCUGAAAAUUGAAAACACAUUAAGAAAAGAGUUGCUCAGAACCUCCAACACAGAGCUGCCCACCAUGGCUGUAUCUCCUUCUGGUCUCAUAGGCUCCGUACUGCCUAAAGCCUUCAUGCUCUGCGAUCGACACUUGCAAAAUCCGUGUCAGGACAGCUUCCUGCACUGGAGAAGAUCAGAGCAGGAACGGCCUGACAUCCACAGAAGGUUCUGCGAUGGCAACUCAGCUUGACUGAAGAGAAAACCCUUCUCCCUACGUGUCCUGAAUUCAGCUGAUGAUCUGAGGACGAGUGGCUUGUUCUAGGGCUGCUUGUAGCUCGUUUUCUCAGCCCAUCCGACCCAGACAUUAAACGGCUAGUUCAUGACCCUUUGCUGUCCAUGUGAUGGCAGAGAACUCUGAGAUGCCAUGUGACACGGCAGCGCACAUUUAACUUGUCACGGAACAAAUGUUUUAUUGGGAGCGGCACAUCGGACACAAGGCAGUGAGUCUGCUCCGCACACCGCAGUCUGUCUGCCCUUGAGCGUUUGGAAGAAGCAAAGAGGGUGGAGACCGCAGCUCUCGCACUGGCUACCGUCCACAGAGAGAAAAAUGUUGAUUUCUUGUGGAUGAAAUGUUUCCCCGCUCGACUGAGUGGGGUGUCAUCAGCAUCUCAACAAUGAAGAGGAAUAGAAUUUGUAAGAGAUAAAAGGCUGCCCUCAUCAGCAUUUUAAUUCAAGGAGAAGCACACCUAUUGAAAAGGGUUCUGUCCAUCUACACACAGCUUUGUAAGAAGGGUUAGAAGGUGCAGGAUGAGCCAGCAAAGAUGACAGGAAGGAAACGCCUGUAUGACUCCCCACGUGAUUGAGCGUCUUCUUGGAUUGGGCCAAGAGGACGAAGUCUAAGCAGUUGACCCUGGACAGAUAGCUGACGAAAGACGCAGCUGGAGAUGCUGGGCGUUGAAGGAAAAGACCCUGGCUGGUCGUGUGCUGGUGACCUGUGACAUUGGACUCUGUGGGUCCAAGAGGCCUCAGAAGCAAGUAAGCACCCAGCUGGGCAGGCAGGGGAGGCUUCUCCCUCCUCUGACUCCCGUAUCCUCACCCACCCCACCAACCACAUGGAUGUUUUCAGUCUUUGGAAUUACAAGUUCUGUGUUUCAGAUCGCAUGAGUGAUGUAUGUUCCUUGUAGAAAUGUGAAAAGUAAGCACAAGGACAAAAGUUCCCUGUGAUCCUGGUACCCAGAGUAAGGAUUGUUCGUAUUUCAGUGUACGAUGCAGCCAUACUUGUUUCUGCAACUAAAUAUGUCCCUGUCUCUAAGGAAUGGUGGCGCCAGAAGAUGGAAGAAGUCCACGUCCCUGAAUCAUCUGGAAAGCUGCCUUCCAAACUCACUGGACAGUUACAUGAACGAGAAAUAAGUGUAUUAUCUUAUGCUUCUGAAACUCUGAGGUUUCUUUUUUAUUAAGGCUAGCAUUACCCUAACAAAUACAGGAUAUGAACAUAAAAUUCACAGGAGGGAAUGGCGCAAUACCCAUUGAACAUAUGACUAAAAUUUUAACCUCCCUAGCAGUCAAGAAAAUGCAAAUUAAACCACAGAUAUACCAUUUUAAAAAUCCAUCAGAUUUGCGAACAUUAAAAAAGCAAUAAUAUUUAGAGCAGCUAAAAUGCAAGGGCAGCCACUCCUGGUGGAAGUGUACAGUGCUACAAUCUUUGGGAGAUGUAAUCUGACAAAAUUUAUUAAAGUUAAAAUAUAUAUUUGUUAUACAACAUCACAUGUGGUAUACAUUUGUUCUUGUUUUUCUUGCCAGAAAUGUGUAACCUGAAUCUAGCCAAGCCUCUAGACCUAACUUCCAGUUUCAGAAAUACCAGAAAUAGAGGAAAAGUUAAAUAAUACCAUAGAGGGAAAUAGUCAGAAAUCCAGGAUGUGGGACACUCUACAAGAUAACUUAGCCAGACACCUUAAACACCAAUGUCUCAAGAAAAAAGUGACAAACUCUUCUUCACUAAAAGAGACCAAAGAGAUACAAAAACUAAGUGCAGUACAUUAGCUCAGAUUGACUUCUGGCUAAGAAAGAAAGUAUAAAGGACAUUCUUAGGACAGCUGGGGGGAUAUUUGAAUGUGGACUGAAUAUUAGCUGACAUGAUGAAAUUAUUCCUAAUUAUCUUAGGUAGGACAGUGGUUUUGUAGCUAUCUAGAAGAUGCUCUCUACUCCUAGAGAGGCAUGCUAAAAUAUUUAGGGGUGAAUGGUCAUGAUAUUCCGGGGAGAAUUGUCAAGUAGUAGAGCAAACACGGAAAUUAUACUUAUAAAUAGAGAUAAGGCAUAUUGCAUACAUUUUCGCCUAGCAAGUUCAUCUGUGCAAACUUAUACUACACAAUAAAUAUAUUAACACAUAAGAAUGAAAGGAUAAGGCUGUUUGUUGUUUCAUUGUUUACUGUGACAAAAAAUUGGAAACACCAGCAAGAGAAUAUGAUGAAGAAAUUAUGGCAUAUCCGUGCCACGGACUACCGCACAGCAACUGCAGAGAAUGAGUUAGAUCUCUCUGCAUUGAAUUGAAGGGAUAUGCAUGGUAUAUUGUUAAGUAAGAAAACAGUUGUAGAAUAAAAGUAUAGUAUAAAUUCACCUUGUAUAAGACAAUAUUUGUAUCAAAACAAAACAUACCCUCUCUUAUCUAAAUACCUAUCAUCUAUCUAUCUAUCUAUCCUCUAUCUAUCUAUCCUCUAUCAUCUAUCUACAUACGUACGUGUGUAUGUGUAUAUAUGGAAAAGAGAGUUAGAGCAGGAAAGGUACACAUCAGGUUGUAAAAGUUGGUUGUCUUAGGGAGGUGGGAGAUUAACUUUUUUCUUUAAAUAUCUGUGUAUCAUUUCACUUAUUAUAAUUAGUGUGAAUUACAAUGGAAUUUUAUUUUUAAAAAACCUUAUGAUAAACUCUGGUCUGCCUAUGACAUCCCUUCUUGUUUCCCAACAUUGUAAUGGGUUUAUUCUUCUUUAAAAGUGUCAUUUCUUAUCAUUUCAAUGGGAUUUUGGGAAGAGACAGCAAGUUAAUUCACACUCGGUCUAUGAUCUUAAACUUGAAGUUCCCUCCACCAUUCUUUCCAACUUCUCUGCCUGCACUCAUGCAGUUUUCUUCUACCUGGAACACUCUCAUCUGAGCUUAGGGUUUCUAACUAAAAAUAAUGGAUGUUAGUUUUGGUUAGGAAAAGACGUGACCUGUGACCAGUGCCUGUCUUAAAAAUUCCUCCAUUCUCUUAAAGAGAUAAUGUGGUAGAACUAAAUUUCCAGCUGGCCUGAUAAUGUACACGCUGCCUCUAGGGGGUCUGGAAGAGAUCUUUGCUCUUUGUCAGUGGCACAGACUAGGAGCCAUCUGAAGCCAUGAGCCUAUUUUUCAGUUGUCAUCUGCUGCCGUGGUGUAAGUUAUAAGGACAGCUUUAUAGCAAGCAGUUUGGUAGAAGGGCUAAGCCAACCCAAAUCACCAGUCCAAUCACCAGUCCAGUUCAUAUUAGCUGUGGUGCUUGCAGCAAAGUGGCCACUGAAGAAACCAGAUGGCCACAUCUACCUACACAAGAGAACUUACAGAGGGAAAAUGACAGGCUCAGACCUUUAGGCUUUGAGCUCUAUUGCCUGGUAGAAGCACACACAGUGUGUAGGGUACAAAUGGUCUGCAGAAGCUACUCCUACCUUUAGGAGGUGCAAAAUGCAGCAACUUGCCUUUCACUUUGCUCUUGAGCGCUGAACACCCUAGAAACUAGAGAAGAGGAAUAGGGUGACAUCCUAGAAUGGUGCCAAGUGCGAGGAUACUUCUGUCCUAUAUGAGUUCGCACAGAGGGGUAUUUGCAAGAGGCUCGCACUAAUCCGAUGAAUCCCAUGACCCUCUGCAGUGUCGGCCAGCUUUCCCCACAACUAUCAAUACACUGGUGCUCCGUCAGUGGGUCCACGUACGACGCGGCCGUAGUGGCAGCGAUGGAAGCCCUGCAUCUCCUCCACGUGGCGACACGGACUUCUCCUCCCUGCGGGUGACCUGGGGCGAGUGCCUGACCUGCCAACAGCAGAAACAUGUGGAGCCCUGGACGUGACAUCACUCCUGAAGGCCACCUGCAGGUUACAGAAGUUCAAGUGGGAUUGUGACUGAGCUAGAAGAGGAGUUCAUGAAAAUCUGAGAUAGGGAGAGGACAGCUCACUGUACACAAGGCUGCUCUGAACAUUCCUGUGUAUGUUCCUGAACACACGCGAGGGAGGUUUUCCUGGGAGCAUCGGCGCUGGCCCCAGCUCUCUGAGAUAUCUCCAGAUUGCUUUCCAAGGAGGUUUCCCGAUGGGCCCACCGCAUCUUCAAUAACGUUUGGUACUGUCAGACUUCUUUUUAUAAACAAAGUUUUUUGAAUAAGCAAAACCUUCAAACACCUCAAAAUUCAAAACUAUGAAGGGGCAGGAUGUGAGGAUAAUUGUGUUUUGGGUCCCCCGGCGUCCGGUGUUCACUUCAGUGUUAACUGUCCCGAAUGUGUCCUUACAGGGACAUUUUGAUGGAUACGCAGGCAGGGGUGGACAGGUAGGUGUCUCCUUUUCUUACUUCUCUACUCAGUGACUGCCUCCUAAGCGGGCUGUUCUGCCCCUGUUCCGUUCACCUGACGCUAUACCUUAGCGAUCCUCCUGCGUCAGUACAGAGCACCUGCAGUCUUAUUUUUGUUGCUUAAGCCAUUCACUGCUACCUGACUCUUUUAAAUAAAAAAAAUAAAUUUUUUGGUGAAAUGUAUCGUACAUCAUAGAAUAUAAAACAUUUAUGGGCCAUCAGAAGAAGAGGAAUAAAAUGAACCCUGCCUACUCCUGUCUCAGGCUCUGAAGGAGAAUCACGACAACAUUUCCAAAACCCUCCCUGCUCCUUUUUUUCGUGGCAGCCCCUUCCCUUGACGCCCAGCUGGUCCCUCUCCAAACUUUGGUGUCCAUGAUUCCUCUUCUUUUUAAAAUUGAUUUCCAGCCCAUGUGUAUAUCCCCAAAGGAUCCAUUGUUCAGUUUUGAUUGGGUAGCAAAUGCAAAAUUAACUGGAAUAAAAAAGUUAAAUAGAUUUUAAAAAGCUGCCCCUAGGUUCCCAGGAGAAGGUAACUUCAACGGAAUUUCUGGGUCGAGAUUCCCUGAAUGCAAAGAAAGAGGCCCUUCUGGAAAUGUUGGGACGCAAGUCCGUGGGGAGCCCCGGGCUCACACCAUUGAGGUACCUGGCUGUGGAACAGGUUCUGGGCCCAGGGGCGAUGUGAUCUGGUCAGCUGCUCAGAACUUCUGGGUCUAAAGUCACCAGAGCCUCCCAGGAGUUGCCAGAGAAGGACAUUUCUGGGGGGUGAAAUGGGGGGUCUCAGCUGAUCAGGAGCUGUAGGUCAUAGAGGAGAAGAAGGGGCUUUAUCAGUACAUGGACGGGAGAAGCCGGAUGAGCUCGAUGGGGUGGGUGCUCAGCUGGGCGCCUGGUUUCAGGAGACAGCAGGGGGUGUUCUGAUGACCCAUGGCGUCACUGGGCUCCCAUCCGGAUGGGGUUGCCUCUGUCGGGUCAUCUCGGGGCCUCCCUUCUCAUCCUCGGGAUGCCCUUUGUUUCUCUCUGGGGGGGUGGGGGCGGUUCCUGCACACCCCACACCUCUUCUUUCUUGCCAUGCUCUCUCAUUUUGGUGGAGUACUUCUAGUAGCUUCCUGCAAAAUUAUAUGUGUGUACGAGAUACAUUUUGGAGGCUUUGCAUGUCUUAGAAUGUCUUUAUUUUACUCUCAUACUCAAGCUCAAGUUUUGCCAGAUAGAGAGGAAUAGUUCAGAUAAUAUUUUUCUUUAGAAUAUCUUCUUGCUUCUAGUAUAUAUAUAUAUAUAUAUUUUUGGCUGCGUUGGGUCUUCAUGGCUGCGCGCGGACUUUCUCUAGCUGUGGCGAGCGGGGGCUCUUCGUUGCUGUGCGCAGGCUCCUCAACGCGGUGGCUUCUCUUGUUGCGGAGCACGGGCUCGAGGCACGUGAGCUCAGUAGUUGUGGCUCGUGGGCUCUCGAGCGCAGGCUCAGUAGUUGUGGCACACGGGCUUAGUUGCUCCACGGCAUGUGGGAUCUUCCCGGACCAGGGCUCAAACCCGUGUCCCCUGCAUUGGCAGGCAGAUUCUUAACCACUGCGCCACAAGAGAAGUCCCUUGUACCUUUCCUAAGAAAUCUAAAGCCAUGAACACUGACCCUUUGCGUGAUCUGUGUUUCCUCUCUAGAAACUUGUAGGAUCUCCUGACGGUUCCUGGAAGUGGACAUUUCACAUGUCGAGCUUUGAUAUGAAUCUCAAUGACUCUCACACUUUGGUCACUCAUGUCCUUCAGUUCUGAGAAUAUUCUUAAACCAUUUAAUUGAUGAUUUCAUAUCUCUUUUUUUCUAGUAUAUUUCUGGAACGCCUAUUAAAUAUUAGUGUUGGACCACCUGGUCCUCUAAUUUUAUUAUUUUCACUGUAUUUUUCAUCUUUUUGUGUUUUUGACUACUCUCUGGGAGAUUUCCUCGUUUCUGCAAUUGAUUUGAAUUUCCAAGAGCUCUUUUUUGAACUUUGAAUGUCUGAAUGAUCCCUUUUCAAAAAACUUCAUUCUUGUGUCAUGGAUGAUAAAUCUUCUCUUAUGUCUCUGAAUAUAUUAACUGUGUGUGUGUGUGUGUGUGUGUGUGUGUGUGUGUGUGUGUGUGUGAGUCAGUCCUGGCUGCAGAGUUUAAGAUCUGAGAAAUAAAAGGCUGAUUAGAAGCUCUGAGUUCUUGACUGGGACUUGUUGAUUUUCACAGUAUAUUGUGACCAUCUGUUGGGGGACCCUAAUGUCAAUAUCUUAGAAUGUUUCCUGUCGGGCUGGUGAGAUUCUCCAUGGGGAGUCUUUUCAUCUCCUGGCUGGAGAGGAAGGGUAUGGCCACCAGUGAUCUGGGAGUUGAAUUGGAGAAAAAGGCUGGAAUAUCUCUGCAGCAAACGUUCAAUAGACAUACUUUACCUGUACCCACUACUAUGAUUGCCAUGUCCCAGUCCCCUGACCUGCAGUUCUACCCUCUCCAGGGAGGCAAGGAAGAAGUGGCCCAGGACAGGGGAGGGACAAGGAGACUUAGAGACCCAUUACUUCUGAGACAGGUUUCACCCACUUUCCCUUAUCCCAUCUUCACUGCCCACCGCCCUGUUCUGACUCUCUUAACUUCGGGAUAUCGGGAUUUCCCGUAUUUCCCUUUCAGUUCUACUUUCAACCUGGAAAUCUUUUUGGAACUUAUCUCUUUCUUGUAGUUCCUUGUCAAACGCAGGCAAUAAAAGCAAAUUCAUGGUACCCAUGUUUUGUUUUCCCCACUUCUUAACUAAAGCCACAAGCUCAUUUGCUCCAUUUUUCUUAUUGCAGGCAACAUGCUAUAUAUGUCAGGGUCUUUGCUAGAUCAGCACUACGGUUCUGGUCCUGAUAUCUAUAUCCAUCAGCUUGAGCUAUGUUAUGUUGCAAUAAUAAAUGGCUUCCAAAACCCUAGUGCCUUACAACAUCGGAUAUUUAUUUCUUGCUCGUGUACGUGUUGGCGGUACAUCAACUUUCACCCUGCAUUCUUCUGCAAUACGGGCUAGGAGGGGCCCCUAUCUUAGUCUUGUGGCAGAGGGAACAAAACAAUGGCAGAAGCAUGCCAGGGCUCUUAAAACAUCUGUUCAGACAAUUGUAUAAAUUCCACUUGACAAAGAAAGUCACACAGUGAACCUCAGUGGGCAGUAUGUCUGUUCUGUCUCCAGGCAGGAGCCUCUAGGGGUGUGCCUAGUAGCAAGGAAAAGCAAAUAUUUGGAAUAAAUAGUACAAUAAUACCAUCUGGCACAGUCUUUUUUUAAAAUCUUCUUUAAACCGACUCAUCCAAAACAGGGAUUUGUCUUUUUCAUGCUCUCCUGUUCUAAUGAAGUAAGAAGUUGUCACGUGACAUCUCUUUCCUUACCAUCCCUGUCUCUUCAGUGAGUGCGUGGCCUGGAUCCCCAAAAGGCAGCUGAACUUCGAUGAGCUCCUUUACCACUGCAUUCUGUCCCAGAUUAUGAAGCAGAUUCACCGCUACCCGUCCCAGCAAGGCACCAGCACUAACGCUCAGGUCCCCCCUUUCCCCCGAGGUACGUAGAACCCCACCCACUUCUGCUGCUGGGCGAGAUUCUCAGGAUGCUUUGGGUGUCGUCUCAUGUCCAUCAAAGUCUGGGUCUCCACUGGUUUCUAGGCUGAGUUUCCCAUGAGAUGCCCGUUUCUAUUACAACUCAUGUAUGUUUUCAAAAGAAGCCCCCGUUACUGGAGAUUGUAUCCUAGCAGGCAGAAAACUCAGACGCAGCUCUUGUCUCCAGAUAGUCUCUAUUUGAACACGAGGCAGGUACUGGGUUCUUCCUCUUCUCUAGCUGCUGACUGAGCAUAAAUUAAUUUUGUUUACAUUUUUAGGAGCAGUCAUUAGCUCAUGAUUCGUGCUGAAGAAAAGCUUCCUAUCUCCUCUGCUCUGUAAAAGUGUUUAUUUUGGUUUCCUCAUGGUUUAUGUUGAAAGUUCCAAGACCCAUGGGCUUCACUAAAUCUGCAAAAAAUCCAUCAUCUAAACAAACAGCACCUUUCUCUGGGUCUGUAGGGGACAGACUAUUUAUUUUUAUCUAAGAGUAACCAGCAUUCAUUUAUGCAUUGGUUCCAGAUGUCGCACCCAGAAAAGCUAACCUUGCCAGGGGGUAACCGUGCCCUCUUGGCUCCUGAAGUGUGAAGGAUACAGUCUCUUCGUCCUGGAAGACAGUGGAAGCCGUGGCGCUUUGUGGCAAGCUGAGAAACAUGACAGCCGAGGACACGGAAUUAAUGGAAGUCAUAAAGUUUUACCUCCACGACAUGUGCUCUUGAGAUCAUGAAGCCGUAGUCAACGACAAGCAGCGACUGACUGCAAGCAUGGGAUGCAGAACCCCUGUCUAACCACAAGGAGAAUAUCCAACAAACCCAACUAGAAGAACAUUCCUUAGAAUACUGGACCUGUGCUCCUCAAAACUGCCAAGAUCAUCAAAACCAAGGAGAGUCCGAUGAGUCAAGAGGAAUCUAAGGAGACAGGAUUAAGUGUGAUGCGGCGUCCUGGAUGAGAUCCUGGAGCAGAAGGAGAGUGGGCGUUAGGUAAAAACUGAAGACAUCUGAAUAAAAUCUGGACUUCAGUUAGUGAUGUAACGAUACUGGUUCAUUCACUGUGACAAAUGUUAAUAAUUCUGUACACCGGGUAUGGGCACAUGGGGCUGUGGACUAUCUUUGCACCUUUUCUGGAAAUUCAAAAUUGUUCUAAAAUGAAAAGCUUAUUUAAAAACUAAAAAGCAAGAAUACUGCUGAUCAGUUCUCUUUCCCAAACCUGGAAAUUCAUCUGCAUCCUCCUUUCCUUGGUUCCCAGGCCUCUGAGAGCUCUGGCUGGCUCUGGACACUCCUUUCCUUCCAGAAUUUCCCCUGCAGCCUUGGACUCCGCAGUAGCUCCUGUUUGACUGUAAAUGACCUUUGUUGGGUGAAUUGCUGAGGUUUUCACAGCACGAAGUGUCUUCUGACUAUUUGUGAUCGUCCAUGGGCAUCCCUACCCCUAUCCUGUCCGUAUCCCACGGCCAAGGCCGCCAUGACCUCACUGACUAGGCGUUCGGGCCCAGCAGGCAGAGCACACCACUGCCACGCACGACGCACCACGGCAUACGGCUCCUUGCUCAGCACAGUGGCCUGAUUUUGUAAAUGCAUUACCAUAAAGCUAUCCUUCAGGGGAAGUUUUGUUUUUUUUUUUUUGCGGUACGCGGGCCUCUCACUGUUGUGGCCUCUCCUGCCGCGGAGCACAGGUUCCGGACGCGCAGGCUCAGCGGCCAUGGCUCACGGGCCCAGCCGCUCCGUGGCAUGUGGGAUCCUCCCGGACCGGGGCACGAACCCGCGUCCCCUGCAUCAGCAGGCUGACUCUCAACCACCGCGCCACCAGGGAAGCCCAGGGGAAGUUUUAUUGUUCGGAUGCUUCUAGUGUUGGGGCCUUACUGUGGCUGCACACGGCGUCAUCUCAGAUCUAGGGCGCGGAGUUGACCGUGCCCGCCUCGCUGGGUCGUUGAGAGACUACAGAUGCCGAGGCAAUGCCUGCCCAAAGUACCGUGGCUCUUGGCACGUACAGACUCACAGUAGAUACUCUGCCCUCUCUUCCCAUCCUCCUGAACACAGAGGCCGAUGUGGCCCAGGACGGGGUUCCCCAAAUUGUGUUCUGCCCAUGACUUUUAGGACCCAAGAUAAUGUGUGUAAACACUUAUGUUUGGGAAAUUCCUGCACCAUACCCUUCUCUUGGAGUUUGCAAUGAACAUUUUGGCCUGUUGGAGGCUCGGAGAAGCCCUGUAGUACAGACAGGCUUAAUUUUCUUUAACUAAAAUCCCCCAGACCCACUGAACUCUUACUGGGUGUGAUGUAUCCAUCCCUGAACCAGUAGAAAUCCUUGAUCUAGUCAAGCACAGGAGGCCAGGCAGAAGGUCGGAGGAAACAGAAGUUUGAAGACUAAAUAUCUACCGAGCAGAUGCAGACGUUGGCCACUAGCUGCUCGUAAAGCAAUCGUAAGGGUGGCGUGGGACAGCAUCUGUGCGAGGCGGCCAGCCGCUGCUGGUUGAGGCACUUUUGCCCUGGAAGGGCAAGGGCUGGGGAUGGGUGAGGGCUCUGGGAAACCAUGAAAUCCUGUUCUGCAGCUUCACACCGUGAGCUAAGUGCCGGCCCCGGGGCAGCAGAAACAGCUCCAGAAGAGCCUUCCCUGCCCAAGGCCACGCCCACACCAUGGCGUCGGGUGACGGGGGACGCAGGCAACCCCAAACCCCUGUGGGAGGCUCCGGCGCUGUGCUGUCGACCUGCUGGAGAGGCCUGGGAUGGCUUCUCUC
This is a long non-coding RNA of Orcinus orca (killer whale), 12504 nucleotides long. RefSeq lists it as uncharacterized. The record is from RefSeq and is a predicted model, not a curated record. NCBI's taxonomy places the organism in Eukaryota, Metazoa, Chordata, Mammalia, Artiodactyla, Delphinidae. The transcript has 9 exons.